CGUGCGUGUAUGCAUAUGAGUGUGUGUCUGUGUGAGUGUCUGAGUGGAGCAAGUGCGUCCGCCGCAACCUUAAUGGUUGUUCGUUUGAUCAACGGUCGGUCGUCGAACGGUUUCCAUUAACAAACAGAGUGCGGCUUAAAUUCAGAUGCAAACCAGUUUGGCAGCUAAAGUGAAA
Molecule: long non-coding RNA, 175 nt
Organism: Drosophila innubila
Lineage: Eukaryota; Metazoa; Arthropoda; Insecta; Diptera; Drosophilidae
Exons: 2
Source: RefSeq, a predicted model, not a curated record